RNAcentral lists this ribosomal RNA (636 nucleotides) under Amanita subfrostiana. RNAcentral describes it as "LSU rRNA". It matches the Rfam family "Eukaryotic large subunit ribosomal RNA", at positions 44 to 656 of the family's 3401-position model. The record is from RNAcentral. Lineage: Eukaryota; Fungi; Basidiomycota; Agaricomycetes; Agaricales; Amanitaceae.
CAAUAAGCGGAGGAAAAGAAACUAACAAGGMUUCCCUUAGUAACUGCGAGUGAAGAGGGAAGAGCUCAAAUUUAAAAUCUGGCAGUGCUUUGCUGUCCGAGUUGUAAUCUAGAGAAGUGCUACCCGUGCUGGACCAUGUACAAGUCUCCUGGAAUGGAGCGUCACAGAGGGUGAGAAUCCCGUCUUUGACAUGGACUGCCAGUGCAUUUGUGGUGUGCUCUCAAAGAGUCGAGUUGUUUGGGAAUGCAGCUCUAAAUGGGUGGUAAACUCCAUCUAAAGCUAAAUAUUGGCGAGAGACCGAUAGCGAACAAGUACCGUGAGGGAAAGAUGAAAAGAACUUUGGAAAGAGAGUUAAACAGUAUGUGAAAUUGUUGAAAGGGAAACGCUUAAAGUCAGUCGUGUCGGCCAGGGAUCAACUCAGUUUUUUCUGCUGGGUGUACUUCCUGAUCUGAUGGGCCAACAUCAGUUUUGACUGCUGGAGAAGGAUAGAGGGAAUGUGGCACCUUUGGGUGUGUUAUAGCUCUCUGUCAGAUGCAGUGGUUGGGACUGAGGAAAGCAGCAUGCCGAAAGGCCGGGUCAGUUUGACCACGUUCAUGCUGAGGAUGUUGGCAUAAUGGCUUUAAUCGACCCGUCUUG